CCCUUAGAUGUCCUGGGCUGCACGCGCGCUAUACUGAUGUGUCCAGUAAGCACCUAACCUCUUCCGAAAGGAACGGGUAACCUUUGCAAAGCACAUCGUGAUGGGGAUAGAUUAUUGCAAUUAUUAGUCUUGAACGAGGAAUUCCUAGUAAGCACAAGUCAUCAGCUUGUGUUGAUUACGUCCCUGCCCUUUGUACACACCGCCCGUCGCUCCUACCGAUUGAAUGUUCCGGUGAGCUCUUCGGACUGCGCGGUCUGCAGUUUCUGCGUUCCGUGCGGAAAGUUGCGCAAACCUUAACAUUUAGAGGAAGGAGAAGUCGUAACA
This 324-nucleotide ribosomal RNA is filed under the name uncultured eukaryote. RNAcentral describes it as "partial 18S ribosomal RNA". It matches the Rfam family "Eukaryotic small subunit ribosomal RNA", at positions 1470 to 1796 of the family's 1831-position model. The record is from RNAcentral.